RNAcentral lists this non-coding RNA (29 nucleotides) under Mus musculus (house mouse). Lineage: Eukaryota; Metazoa; Chordata; Mammalia; Rodentia; Muridae. The record is from RNAcentral.
UGUUUCUUUUUAGACUCCAGUAGCUUCAU